Molecule: ribosomal RNA, 448 nt
Filed under: uncultured bacterium
Lineage: Bacteria
Description: bacterial SSU rRNA
Rfam family: Bacterial small subunit ribosomal RNA
Source: RNAcentral
GUCCAGACUCCUACGGGAGGCAGCAGUGGGGAAUAUUGCACAAUGGGGGAAACCCUGAUGCAGCGACGCCGCGUGAGUGAAGAAGUCUUUCGGUAUGUAAAGCUCUAUCAGCAGGGAAGAUAAUGACGGUACCUGACUAAGAAGCCCCGGCUAACUACGUGCCAGCAGCCGCGGUAAUACGUAGGGGGCGAGCGUUAUCCGGAUUUACUGGGUGUAAAGGGAGCGUAGACGGCGUCGCAAGUCUGAAGUGAAAGCCCGUGGCUCAACCGCGGAACCGCGUUGGAAACUGCGAGGCUGGAGUGCUGGAGAGGUAAGCGGAAUUCCUGGUGUAGCGGUGAAAUGCGUAGAUAUCAGGAGGAACACCGGUGGCGAAGGCGGCUUACUGGACAGUGACUGACGUUGAGGCUCGAAAGCGUGGGGAGCGAACAGGAUUAGAUACCCGCGUAAC